RNAcentral lists this ribosomal RNA (437 nucleotides) under uncultured bacterium. RNAcentral's name for it is "bacterial SSU rRNA". It matches the Rfam family "Bacterial small subunit ribosomal RNA", at positions 335 to 762 of the family's 1533-position model. The record is from RNAcentral.
ACUCCUACGGGAGGCAGCAGUGGGGAAUAUUGCACAAUGGGGGAAACCCUGAUGCAGCCAUGCCGCGUGUGUGAAGAAGGCCUUCGGGUUGUAAAGCACUUUCAGUAGGGAGGAAGGUAGUAGUAGUUAACACCUGCACUAUUUGACGUUACCUACAGAAGAAGCACCGGCUAACUCCGUGCCAGCAGCCGCGGUAAUACGGAGGGUGCGAGCGUUAAUCGGAAUUACUGGGCGUAAAGCGCAUGCAGGCGGCCUGUUAAGUCAGAUGUGAAAGCCCGGGGCUUAACCUCGGAAUUGCAUUUGAAACUGGCAGGCUAGAGUCUUGUAGAGGGGGGUAGAAGUUUCAGGUGUAGCGGUGAAAUGCGUAGAGAUCUGAAGGAAUACCAGUGGCGAAGGCGGCCCCCUGGACAAAGACUGACGCUCAGAUGCGAAAGCGU